AUAAAGAAUACCUGGUAACAUUGACAUUUUCAGAACAGUUUAACAACCCAGCGACAACACCACCAUUAAUGACCACAACACAAAUGUAUUAUGCAUUUUUUAUAAUAAUUUUAAAUGGAUUGCUUUAACCCCUUCAGGACGUAGGACGGUUCAGGACCAUCCUCGGCAUUUUUGCGUUGUUCAAUAAAGGUUACCACCUUUUAUGUGGACAAUUUUUAUAGCAUUGUCUGUUUGUUUCAAACUCUUUAGGGUUUCUAGAUACUGGCCUCUGGCAGUGUGAGAAGAUAUGCCAAGGAUUUCCCCAAACCUUUUAUAGAGGCCAAAUUAAAAAAAACUGAAUGUAAAGGUCUGCACAAAGCUAAAGUGCUUGCAAUAAAAUUUAAGGACAGGAAGUAUGUUAAUAUACUAACCACCAUCCAUGAUGAAAGCAUGUCAGACGUCACUGUCCGAGGCAGAGUACAGACCAAACCUGUUUGCAUAAGUAAGUAGCGACACAUAAUUCAUUUUUACUCUUUAAAAAA
Non-coding RNA from Pelobates cultripes (western spadefoot toad), 521 nucleotides. The record is from the annotation of a GenBank genome assembly. NCBI's taxonomy places the organism in Eukaryota, Metazoa, Chordata, Amphibia, Anura, Pelobatidae.